Small nucleolar RNA from Amblyraja radiata (thorny skate), 246 nucleotides. RefSeq annotates it as small nucleolar RNA SNORA53. NCBI's taxonomy places the organism in Eukaryota, Metazoa, Chordata, Chondrichthyes, Rajiformes, Rajidae. The transcript has a single exon. The record is from RefSeq and is a predicted model, not a curated record.
AACACAUUCCUUAGAUCCACCUUUGGGAUGUAUCUGUCUUGCUGUUCUGUAUCAUUCCAUAUGAUGGGUUUUCCAGAAUGGUUAGCAGGUCAUCCACAACUUUCAUGGUUGUAUAGUCAAAGGUGCUUGAGUCAUUGAUGUGUGAGAAUAAUCUACCUGCAUGUUGGCCUUGCCUGUUCCAGUGUGAAUAGUCUGCGUAAUGCCGGCUGUUUACUACCACUGGGACUCGGCUGAUUUGCGGACAUU